CCGGGAGUGUGUCACGGCACUCUGUAAGCUAAGUAGCCGGUUGGGUUUGGGAUGCUAUCAGUGGGUAGGCUAUUGCAACAAGUUUGUACUGAGCCGCCCCUAGAAUGGCAGUGUUUCCAUUGGCUCAUAGGGGUAGCCCCGUGUGUCGAGGGAAUUAAAUAGAGGGAGACUGUCCCAGGCGGGCAACCGAACAGGAGAACCUCUCAGCAUUGCCACGUCUCAGGGAGAACGGCUCGUGCGUUGUACUGCUUAGUGGUACUGGACCAAACCCAUU
This 274-nucleotide signal recognition particle RNA is filed under the name Sphaeroforma arctica JP610. RNAcentral describes it as "Metazoan signal recognition particle RNA". It matches the Rfam family "Metazoan signal recognition particle RNA". Rfam says of the family: The signal recognition particle (SRP) is a universally conserved ribonucleoprotein. It is involved in the co-translational targeting of proteins to membranes. Lineage: Eukaryota; Ichthyosporea; Ichthyophonida. The record is from Rfam by way of RNAcentral.